RNAcentral lists this ribosomal RNA (215 nucleotides) under uncultured Glomus. Its description in RNAcentral is "partial small subunit ribosomal RNA". The stretch from base 38 to 215 matches the Rfam family "Eukaryotic small subunit ribosomal RNA", at positions 684 to 864 of the family's 1831-position model. RNAcentral also lists the same sequence under 1 other name. The record is from RNAcentral. Lineage: Eukaryota; Fungi; Glomeromycota; Glomeromycetes; Glomerales; Glomeraceae.
GGAUCAGUACGUUGGUCGUGCCUUAGGUACGUACUGGUGUUACUGGUUCCUACCUUCUGACGAACCAUCAUGUCAUUAAUUUGGUGUGGCGGGGAAUCAGGACUGUUACUUUGAAAAAAUUAGAGUGUUUAAAGCAGGCUCGCGCUUGAAUACAUUAGCAUGGAAUAAUGAAAUAGGACGUUGAUCCUAUUUUGUUGGUUUCUAGGAUUGACGUA